Molecule: unclassified non-coding RNA, 342 nt
Filed under: soil metagenome
Description: partial contains 5.8S ribosomal RNA, internal transcribed spacer 2, and large subunit ribosomal RNA
Rfam family: 5.8S ribosomal RNA (bases 1-120)
Source: RNAcentral
GAUGAAUAACGCAGCGAAAUGCGAUAAGUAAUGUGAAUUGCAGAAUUCAGUGAAUCAUCGAAUCUUUGAACGCACAUUGCGCCCGCCAGCAUUCUGGCGGGCAUGCCUGUUCGAGCGUCAUUUCAACCCUCGAGCCCCCCCGGGGGCCUCGGUGUUGGGGGACGGCACACCAGCCGCCCCCGAAAUGCAGUGGCGACCCCGCCGCAGCCUCCCCUGCGUAGUAGCACACACCUCGCACCGGAGCGCGGAGGCGGUCACGCCGUAAAACGCCCAACUUUCUUAGAGUUGACCUCGGAUCAGGUAGGAAUACCCGCUGAACUUAAGCAUAUAAUAAGCGGAGGA